Molecule: non-coding RNA, 93 nt
Organism: Mycena capillaripes
Lineage: Eukaryota; Fungi; Basidiomycota; Agaricomycetes; Agaricales; Mycenaceae
Source: the annotation of a GenBank genome assembly
UCGGACGUAGUGCAUGGUGCACACUCGCUGCUUAUGGGGGAUACUGAAAAGCAUUUUACGUGGGAGGACCGGGUUCGACUCCCGGCGUCCGAG